UGUUUAAAAAGGACAGAGAUCAAGAAGAAGUGGCUAUUGAAUCAAUUCAAGCAGUACCAUGAAUAUACGUUCAAGGAAGUGAAUCGAACUGCUGAGAGACGCAGAGUCAAUAAAUAUGAUUUCCACUGUUGCCGUCAUUUAAUAUGUGUCAAAGAGCAGAGUGAUGCUGUUGACCCCAGUGUGAGAAAUGAGAAUUCAUCCAGCAUUCUUCCCCAGAUGAUAUAAGAAAAUACAGAGUUCAAUAAAUACGUGGUGGAUGCCCUCUAGCUAGAUUGACAUGGAAGUAAUACCUGAUGGCCGACACGCUACAGAAUAAUUGCUCCACAAUAAGGUGAAAAAGAAUCUAGGAACAUUAAGAAAGCACUCAGUAAUGAACUUGGUGCUGAAAUUGAGCCAAAUACUAUUGAAAAUCAGAAUAAUGAUGAGCUACUAGGAGACAUAUCACAUGAUGAUGAAGAAAGUAGUAAUGAACGAAGUGAAAGUGAAGAGGGAAAACUUACUGCACCAAUAGAAUUGUUGGGUGAGAUUGCAGUUCUGAUCUACGAACCAGAAAAUACUGAGGCCAAGCAGUUUUUCCACUUCCGGAAGAAAAGGUGUUGAUGGAAGCAGCACAGAAACUUGCCAGUGGGGAGGGUGAAGAUGAUGAAGAAACAAGUGAUGAAAGCCGUGACAGCAACACAGAGUACUAGCUGUUCAAAUAGCAAUGAUGAAGAAAAUGAAAAAAGUUCUGAUGAUUCCGAGGAAAAUUAGUUUGGAGAUUCUACAGUAUUUCAGUUGAUGAUUUUGAUUCUCCAACAGGCAUGUUCAAGUAUACUGUUUAAUCGUAAUUUUUCUUACAAAUUUCAGUAGUCUUUACUAACAUUAUU
Gymnogyps californianus (California condor) is the source of this 866-nucleotide long non-coding RNA. RefSeq lists it as uncharacterized. The record is from RefSeq and is a predicted model, not a curated record. The transcript has 8 exons. NCBI's taxonomy places the organism in Eukaryota, Metazoa, Chordata, Aves, Accipitriformes, Cathartidae.